UCCGCCAUAGCUCAGUUGGUGGUAGCGCAUGACUGUUAAUCAUGAUGUCGUAGGUUCGAGUCCUACUGGCGGAG
This 74-nucleotide transfer RNA is filed under the name Streptococcus pneumoniae. Its description in RNAcentral is "tRNA-Asn". It matches the Rfam family "tRNA". Rfam says of the family: Transfer RNA (tRNA) molecules are approximately 80 nucleotides in length. RNAcentral also lists the same sequence under 1 other name. Lineage: Bacteria; Bacillati; Bacillota; Bacilli; Lactobacillales; Streptococcaceae. The record is from RNAcentral.